UUGAACGCUGGCGGCCUGCCUUACCCAUGCACGUCGAACGGUAACAGGUCUUCGGAUGCUGACGAGUGGCGAACGGGUGAGUAAUACAUCGGAACGUGCCCGAUCGUGGGGGAUAACGCAGCGAAAGCUGUGCUAAUACCGCAUACGAUCUACGGAUGAAAGCGGGGGAUCGCAAGACCUCGCGCGGACGGAGCGGCCGAUGGCAGAUUAGGUAGUUGGUGGGAUAAAAGCUUACCAAGCCGACGAUCUGUAGCUGGUCUGAGAGGACGACCAGCCACACUGGGACUGAGACACGGCCCAGACUCCUACGGGAGGCAGCAGUGGGGAAUUUUGGACAAUGGGCGCAAGCCUGAUCCAGCCAUGCCGCGUGCAGGAUGAAGGCCUUCGGGUUGUAAACUGCUUUUGUACGGAACGAAAAAGCUCUCUCUAAUACAGGGGGUGAAUGACGGUACCGUAAGAAUAAGCACCGGCUAACUACGUG
This 481-nucleotide ribosomal RNA is filed under the name uncultured bacterium. Its description in RNAcentral is "partial 16S ribosomal RNA". It matches the Rfam family "Bacterial small subunit ribosomal RNA", at positions 30 to 507 of the family's 1533-position model. The record is from RNAcentral.